RNAcentral lists this ribosomal RNA (460 nucleotides) under uncultured bacterium. RNAcentral describes it as "partial 16S ribosomal RNA". It matches the Rfam family "Bacterial small subunit ribosomal RNA", at positions 338 to 795 of the family's 1533-position model. The record is from RNAcentral.
CCUACGGGGGGCAGCAGUGAGGAAUAUUGGUCAAUGGUCGCAAGUCUGAACCAGCCAUGCCGCGUGCAGGAAGACGGUUCAAUGAGUCGUAAACCGCUUUUGUCAGAGGACAAAGCCUGAUACGCGUACCCGUCUGAAUGUACCUUACGAACAAGCAUCGGCUAACUCCGUGCCAGCAGCCGCGGUAAUACGGAGGAUUCAAGCGUUAUCCGGAUUUAUUGGGUUUAAAGGGUGCGCAGGCGGUCGGUUAAGUCAGCGGUGAAAUCCCGGGGCUCAACUCCGGCCCUGCCGUUGAUACUGUCAGGCUAGAGUGUGGGUGCGGUAGGCGGAAUGUAUGGUGUAGCGGUGAAAUGCAUAGAGAUCGUACAGAACACCGAUUGCGAAGGCAGCUUGCCGGGCUACGACUGACGUUGAGGCACGAAAGCGUGGGGAGCGAACAGGAUUAGAUACCCGUGUAGUC